GCGGCGUGCUAUAACGCAAGUUNAACGAAUGGAUUGAGAGCUUGCUCUCAAGAAGUUAGCGGCGGACGGGUGAGUAACACGUGGGUAACCUGCCCAUAAGACUGGGAUAACUCCGGGAAACCGGGGCUAAUACCGGAUAACAUUUUGAACUGCAUGGUUCGAAAUUGAAAGGCGGCUUCGGCUGUCACUUAUGGAUGGACCCGCGUCGCAUUAGCUAGUUGGUGAGGUAACGGCUCACCAAGGCAACGAUGCGUAGCCGACCUGAGAGGGUGAUCGGCCACACUGGGACUGAGACACGGCCCAGACUCCUACGGGAGGCAGCAGUAGGGAAUCUUCCGCAAUGGACGAAAGUCUGACGGAGCAACGCCGCGUGAGUGAUGAAGGCUUUCGGGUCGUAAAACUCUGUUGUUAGGGAAGAACAAGUGCUAGUUGAAUAAGCUGGCACCUUGACGGUACCUAACCAGAAAGCCACGGCUAACUACGUGCCAGCAGCCGCGGUAAUACGUAGGUGGCAAGCGUUAUCCGGAAUUAUUGGGCGUAAAGCGCGCGCAGGUGGUUUCUUAAGUCUCGAUGUGAAAGCCCACGGCUCAACCGUUGGAGGGUCAUUGGAAACUGGGGAGACUUGAGUGCAGAAGCAG
This 638-nucleotide ribosomal RNA is filed under the name Bacillus sp. UST050418-289. RNAcentral describes it as "bacterial SSU rRNA". It matches the Rfam family "Bacterial small subunit ribosomal RNA", at positions 39 to 657 of the family's 1533-position model. The record is from RNAcentral. Lineage: Bacteria; Bacillati; Bacillota; Bacilli; Caryophanales; Bacillaceae.